RNAcentral lists this transfer RNA (73 nucleotides) under Camelus bactrianus (Bactrian camel). It matches the Rfam family "tRNA". Rfam says of the family: Transfer RNA (tRNA) molecules are approximately 80 nucleotides in length. Their secondary structure includes four short double-helical elements and three loops (D, anti-codon, and T loops). Further hydrogen bonds mediate the characteristic L-shaped molecular structure. tRNAs have two regions of fundamental functional importance: the anti-codon, which is responsible for specific mRNA codon recognition, and the 3' end, to which the tRNAs corresponding amino acid is attached (by aminoacyl-tRNA synthetases). tRNAs cope with the degeneracy of the genetic code in two manners: having more than one tRNA (with a specific anti-codon) for a particular amino acid; and 'wobble' base-pairing, i.e. permitting non-standard base-pairing at the 3rd anti-codon position. RNAcentral also lists the same sequence under 2 other names. The record is from Rfam by way of RNAcentral. Lineage: Eukaryota; Metazoa; Chordata; Mammalia; Artiodactyla; Camelidae.
GAGGGUAUAGCUGAAAUGGUAGAGCACACGCUUUGCAUGCAUGUGGUCAUGGGUUCAAGACCCAUGUACCUCU